Molecule: ribosomal RNA, 200 nt
Filed under: uncultured bacterium
Lineage: Bacteria
Description: partial 16S ribosomal RNA
Rfam family: Bacterial small subunit ribosomal RNA
Source: RNAcentral
AUUGAACGCUAGCGGGAUGCUUUACACAUGCAAGUCGAACGGCAGCGCGGAACUUCGGUUCUGGCGGCGAGUGGCGAACGGGUGAGUAAUAUAUCGGAACGUGCCCAGUAGCGGGGGAUAACUACGCGAAGGCGUGGCUAAUACCGCAUACGCCCUACGGGGGAAAGGGGGGGAUCGCAAGACCUCUCACUAUUGGAGCG